AUCUUGGCUCACUGCAACAUCUGCCUCCUGGGUUCCAGUGAUUCCCCUGCCUCAGCCUCCUGAGCACCAACAGACAGGGAAUUGCUCUGUCACGCAAGCUGGAGUGCAGUGGUGCCAUCUCGGCUCACUGUGACCUCUGCCUCCUGGGCUCAAGCCAUCCUCCCACCUCAGCCCUUCAAGUAGCUGGGAUUACAGGUUGUAAAAACCCCAUCAGGGCAGUGACUGAGUGUGUGUCACUGUGUGCAGCAUCCCCAGAACCUAAUACCAUGACUGCAUGGAACAAGCACCCGGAUAUAGGAAUGAAGGACGCUACUGGUGGCCCCGUCCAGUUCUGAGAAAAUGCUGCCACAAGCUACAAGAGAAAUCUGCUUCUCUGAAGCCUUUAAAGAUUUGGUUACUUUUUCAAAAUGAAUAUUCUUUAAUACACAAUUUCAAUAAUUUCUGAAAUGAGGAUAAUGGCUGGGUUUUUUUUUUUUUUUUUUUUUUUGAGAUGGAGUCUCGCUGUCACCCAGGCUGGAGUGCAGUGGUGCAAUCUCAGCUCACUGCAACCUCUGCCCCCCGGGUUCAAGCAAUUCUCGUGCCUCAGCCUCCUGAGUAGCUGGGAUUACAGGUGCCCGCCACCACGACUGGCUAAUUUUUUUAUUUUUAGUAGAGACGGAGUUUCACCAUCCAUGUUGGCCAGGGAGGUCUUGAACUCCUGACCUCAAGUGAUCCGCCUAUGGCUGGCUUUUUAUAAUAGUUAAGAAUACUGCUCCUGGAGUCAGAGGGUCUGGUUCUCAUCCUCUGAUUUUGAUCACAACUUGCUGCAUGAUGAUGAUCAAGUGUUUGAACUUCCCAGUGCAUCCAUUUCCUCCUGGGUAAAGUGGGGCUAAUACCGUUAAAGCAAUGAUGUAAAAAUUAAAUGAGCUAACACAAGUGAGCGUUCAGAAUUGCAUCUAGUGCAUGGGAAUCCCUCAUAAGUAUUAGCUAUUAUUAUCAGUGUGCUAUCAGCUUGGAACUCAUGUAGUUCUGCUACAGAUUUGUAUUGUUCCUGAAAACAGAAUAUGAGACCAAAUUGAGGCCAGGUGUAAAGGCAUCUGGACCUUAUAUCCCUGCUGUCUAGUUUCUUCAAGAGGCCAGAGAGAACCUCCCUCAACUCCAGCCUACCAAGUGUCAUUUAUUUUAAUGCAGUGUGCCCCCAGUCUUAGGAAAUGGAAUUCUUCAUCUUCCAAGGCCUCUGGCUGAGACUGGAGACUUGUGCCUGCUCCACUGCUUGGCUGGAUUAGAUGCCCUAGAAAGAUACUUUUAACUCAGAGAAACUGUGACUCCAUGAAAGGGUCAGAUCCCACCAAAAGUCAUCCCAGUUCUCCAUCAGUUUCUCUCUCCACUCCACCUCCCCCAGCCCAUCCUCCGUCUGGGCUCCAGGGCUCUUUCCUUCUGUGUUCCCACAGGAUGGUGCCUGCUUUUACCCACCCUCUAGACUUUGCCCCAGUCACCUCAAACAGCCGAGGGUCCAAAUUUAGUAAUAGAAAUUCACUUCUCUAACCACUUUACAAAAACAUUAACUCAUAACUCACGGAAACCCAAUGAAGUCGGUGCUGGUGGCACCUCCAUUUUACAGAUGAUGAAACCGAGGAGAGGAGGGAGGUUGAAUAACUUGGCCCAAGGUCACUUGCUGAAAAGUGGCAGAGCUAGGAUUCACUGCCUCUGGUUCACUGCCUUGAAAGGAAGGAAAGUCUCCCCACUCCCACCACUGGGGAACUCUUCUUUAACUUUCUCCACAGUAUCAUUGGUCCGAUAAAUGAGAGGCAAGGAGAGAAACAAAGAUGGAUGUAUGUAUAAACUUAGGCAAGCAUGGAGAGCCAUGGUGAUGUGGUUAAGUGUUAGUUCUUGAGCUGAAUUGCACUGGUUAGUGUCCUGGAUUUUGAAUGUACUAACC
RNAcentral lists this long non-coding RNA (1918 nucleotides) under Homo sapiens (human). RNAcentral describes it as "HSALNT0012382". Lineage: Eukaryota; Metazoa; Chordata; Mammalia; Primates; Hominidae. The record is from RNAcentral.